Gavialis gangeticus (Gharial) is the source of this 101-nucleotide long non-coding RNA. RefSeq lists it as uncharacterized. The transcript is spliced from 3 exons. NCBI's taxonomy places the organism in Eukaryota, Metazoa, Chordata, Crocodylia, Gavialidae. The record is from RefSeq and is a predicted model, not a curated record.
CAACCAGACAAGUGCAUGGCUGCAGAUAGCUUCAAAAAUGCCCAACCAAGUGAAAAUCUGAACUCUUAUUGCAUGUGGGGUCAGAUGAAAAUUGUUUCACA